AGAAUGUCAACUGAAUGACAGAAACACGAGUCUGGGAUGGAGGAACAGUUUCUAUAUAGCCAGAACACUGCACAGCUGAGGAAUGCAUCCAGCAUGUGAUGAAGGAGUGAAUCUGGUCACACGGGGAUGAAUAUAUACAGCUUUUACACAGAGCACGUGUUUUGAAAAAUCAGUGCUGAACAGAAGCUUUCAAAUUAGGUACAAUUGGAUUUUCUACUGCUGGUCAGAUGCAGCCUAUGAGUAAGUCAACGGGAGAGUGAGGGAGACAGCCUAUUUUCCUGCCACUAUUGACAGCUCGUCA
Molecule: long non-coding RNA, 301 nt
Organism: Lagopus leucura (white-tailed ptarmigan)
Lineage: Eukaryota; Metazoa; Chordata; Aves; Galliformes; Phasianidae
Exons: 4
Source: RefSeq, a predicted model, not a curated record